AACGUAGGUCACAAGCGUUGUCCGGAAUUACUGGGUGUAAAGGGAGCGCAGGCGGGAAGACAAGUUGGAAGUGAAAUCCAUGGGCUCAACCCAUGAACUGCUUUCAAAACUGUUUUUCUUGAGUAGUGCAGAGGUAGGCGGAAUUCCCGGUGUAGCGGUGGAAUGCGUAGAUAUCGGGAGGAACACCAGUGGCGAAGGCGGCCUACUGGGCACCAACUGACGCUGAGGCUCGAAAGUGUGGGUAGCAAACAGGAUUAGAUACCCUGGUAGCUGACUGACU
RNAcentral lists this ribosomal RNA (280 nucleotides) under Faecalibacterium prausnitzii. RNAcentral describes it as "partial 16S ribosomal RNA". It matches the Rfam family "Bacterial small subunit ribosomal RNA", at positions 524 to 801 of the family's 1533-position model. Lineage: Bacteria; Bacillati; Bacillota; Clostridia; Eubacteriales; Oscillospiraceae. The record is from RNAcentral.